CCCUUAGAUGUUCUGGGCCGCACGCGCGCUACACUGAUGCAUUCAACGAGUUUCUUCCUGGUCCGAGAGGAAUGGGUAACCUUUUGAAAGUGCAUCGUGAUAGGGAUAGACUAUUGCAAUUAUUGGUCUUUAACGAGGAAUUCCUAGUAGACGUAGUUCAUCAGACUGCAUCGAUUACGUCCCUGCCCUUUGUACACACCGCCCGUCGCUCCUACCGAUUGAAUGCUCAGGUGAGCCAUUCGGACUUUCAUCAUGCUGGUUUCCAGUUUUGAUGAAGGAAAGUCUUGCGAACCUUAUCAUUUAGAGGAAGGAGAAGUCGUAACA
Molecule: ribosomal RNA, 324 nt
Filed under: uncultured eukaryote
Lineage: Eukaryota
Description: partial 18S ribosomal RNA
Rfam family: Eukaryotic small subunit ribosomal RNA
Source: RNAcentral